UAACAUUUGGAAACAGAUGCUAAUACCGCAUAAAUCCAAGAACCGCAUGGUUCUUGGCUGAAAGAUGGCGUAAGCUAUCGCUUUUGGAUGGACCCGCGGCGUAUUAGCUAGUUGGUGAGGUAACGGCUCACCAAGGCAAUGAUACGUAGCCGAACUGAGAGGUUGAUCGGCCACAUUGGGACUGAGACACGGCCCAAACUCCUACGGGAGGCAGCAGUAGGGAAUCUUCCACAAUGGACGCAAGUCUGAUGGAGCAACGCCGCGUGAGUGAAGAAAGGCUUUCGGGUCGUAAAACUCUGUUGUUGGAGAAGAAUGGUCGGCAGAGUAACUGUUGUCGGCGUGACGGUAUCCAACCAGAAAGCCACGGCUAACUACGUGCCAGCAGCCGCGGUAAUACGUAGGUGGCAAGCGUUAUCCGGAUUUAUUGGGCGUAAAGCGAGCGCAGGCGGUUUUUUAAGUCUGAUGUGAAAGCCCUCGGCUUAACCGAGGAAGUGCAUCGGAAACUGGGAAACUUGAGUGCAGAAGAGGACAGUGGAACUCCAUGUGUAGCGGUGAAAUGCGUAGAUAUAUGGAAGAACACCAGUGGCGAAGGCGGCUGUCUGGUCUGUAACUGACGCUGAGGCUCGAAAGCAUGGGUAGCGAACAGGAUUAGAUACCCUGGUAGUCCAUGCCGUAAACGAUGAAUGCUAGGUGUUGGAGGGUUUCCGCCCUUCAGUGCCGCAGCUAACGCAUUAAGCAUUCCGCCUGGGGAGUACGACCGCAAGGUUGAAACUCAAAGGAAUUGACGGGGGCCCGCACAAGCGGUGGAGCAUGUGGUUUAAUUCGAAGCAACGCGAAGAACCUUACCAGGUCUUGACAUCUUUUGAUCACCUGAGAGAUCAGGUUUCCCCUUCGGGGGCAAAAUGACAGGUGGUGCAUGGUUGUCGUCAGCUCGUGUCGUGAGAUGUUGGGUUAAGUCCCGCAACGAGCGCAACCCUUAUGACUAGUUGCCAGCAUUUAGUUGGGCACUCUAGUAAGACUGCCGGUGACAAACCGGAGGAAGGUGGGGAUGACGUCAAAUCAUCAUGCCCCUUAUGACCUGGGCUACACACGUGCUACAAUGGAUGGUACAACGAGUUGCGAGACCGCGAGGUCAAGCUAAUCUCUUAAAGCCAUUCUCAGUUCGGACUGUAGGCUGCAACUCGCCUACACGAAGUCGGAAUCGCUAGUAAUCGCGGAUCAGCACGCCGCGGUGAAUACGUUCCCGGGCCUUGUACACACCGCCCGUCACACCAUGAGAGUUUGUAACACCCGAAGCCGGUGGCGUAACCCUUUUAGGGAGCGAGCCGUCUAAGGG
This 1336-nucleotide ribosomal RNA is filed under the name Lacticaseibacillus rhamnosus. RNAcentral describes it as "bacterial SSU rRNA". It matches the Rfam family "Bacterial small subunit ribosomal RNA", at positions 144 to 1463 of the family's 1533-position model. The record is from RNAcentral. Lineage: Bacteria; Bacillati; Bacillota; Bacilli; Lactobacillales; Lactobacillaceae.